RNAcentral lists this ribosomal RNA (492 nucleotides) under uncultured bacterium. RNAcentral describes it as "partial 16S ribosomal RNA". It matches the Rfam family "Bacterial small subunit ribosomal RNA", at positions 29 to 507 of the family's 1533-position model. The record is from RNAcentral.
AGUGAACGCUGGCGGUAGGCCUAACACAUGCAAGUCGAACGGCAGCACAGUAAGAGCUUGCUCUUACGGGUGGCGAGUGGCGGACGGGUGAGGAAUACAUCGGAAUCUACUUUUUCGUGGGGGAUAACGUAGGGAAACUUACGCUAAUACCGCAUACGACCUACGGGUGAAAGCAGGGGAUCUUCGGACCUUGCGCGAUUGAAUGAGCCGAUGUCGGAUUAGCUAGUUGGCGGGGUAAAGGCCCACCAAGGCGACGAUCCGUAGCUGGUCUGAGAGGAUGAUCGGCCACACUGGAACUGAGACACGGUCCAGACUCCUACGGGAGGCAGCAGUGGGGAAUAUUGGGCAAUGGGCAGAAGCCUGAUCCAGCCAUACCGCGUGGGUGAAGAAGGCCUUCGGGUUGUAAAGCCCUUUUGUUGGGAAAGAAAAGCAGCAGGUUAAUACCCCGCUGUUCUGACGGUACCCAAAGAAUAAGCACCGGCUAACUUCGUG